RNAcentral lists this long non-coding RNA (1635 nucleotides) under Brassica rapa (field mustard). Its description in RNAcentral is "long non-coding RNA (BRAP_LNC004035)". Lineage: Eukaryota; Viridiplantae; Streptophyta; Magnoliopsida; Brassicales; Brassicaceae. The record is from RNAcentral.
CAGAAUUUUAUAUUAGGUUGUGCUUUUUUAUAUUUGAUUUGACAAAUGCACAAAAUGAGCUUUUGAAAUAAAAAAGUUCGAGAAUUCAACAACUUCAAAAGAGUCUGGUUAACAAGCAUUAUAAGAAUUCAUCGUUGCCCUCAUCGUACUUACUCCACUACGUACGACAUAAAAUAACCAGUUUUCAUUCGAUUAAUCUUGAGAGAAAAUUGUAAUUAGUGAUGAUCAUUCUGCUCACUGUUGCGUUGCUAGUUCACAUGAUACAAUAUGAAUAUAAGUGGUGAAAGACAGACAAAUUAUACGAGUGAGACCAACUUUUAUGACUUUGACAUGUCUCUGUGUCGUCAUCAAGUUUUGAAAAGAGUCUUCUUAUUGCAUCAGGACGAUAGACGACGGGAAAGAGUAUGUUCUGGCAUCAUAAAACAGAGGUAUAAUUUUGGUUGUUGAAUCUCAUGGCAAGAACAUAGACCAAAUUUGUUGUCUUCAAAAUAAAAAUGAAAUUCUAGAAAUCAAACUACGUCAUAUUCUUUGUUGGUCGUCUUUGUAUAGCGGUCAUAACUUGUGGUGCUUGCCGGCCGGAGGUUCCGCUAUUGCUUGAACUACAAGAUUUAUAUAUAUGUUUGUAUGAGGUUUAUCUGGACCCGGGCUUAAUAAAUAAGAAAAAAAUUGAACUUUAUUAACAAAUUUACGUAUCGAUUUAAUUUUCGACAUUCAUCUGAUCACAUAUUGUUGUGAGAUUUCUUUUAUUAAUAAAUAAAAAAUUUACUGAACUCGAUUAUAGAUUUUAGCCGUUGACUAUGGAGUGUUUAAAAUUCGGGCUUAGCGUCCAUCUAAACUUCUUAAAAAAAUUUGAUGUUCAUGGGCCUAAUCUUAUUACUAGCACACUAAUGUACCCACAGGCUUUUAAAUUUUAUGUUCACGGGCCUAAUCUUAUUACUAGCACUCUAAUGUGCCCCAGGCCACAUCUAACCCAUUUAGAACCGAGACUUUUAACUCUUACUAUUUUGGAAUAACCUUUAUUCUAAUAUUUUGUCCACAAAAAAACCUUUAUUCUAGUUUAAGUUGAAAAAUGGUUUUGCAACCAUUGUGGAUACCUUUGGCUCUAACCGGUAACCACAAAAAAAAUAGAAAAAGAAUAGGAAAAAAUGAAUGAAAGAGAAUAAAAUAAAAAGAAAAUUUAUUUCUCCUCUAAUUUGUCAAGGAAUAAUUAUAGUCUUUUAUUCCUUAAAUUUUAAGUAAUGUUAAAGAAUCAUAGGUAACAAGUAUUCAUUGUAAAUGAUGAAAUUGUAAGAAAUGCUAAAAAAAUUAGCUAUUCCCACUUAUUCCCUUGAUCACCAUUUGGAGCCUUUGUAUUUCAAAAAAAAAAACAAUGUGGAUGCUCUAUAUAUGUGUUUCAAAAAAAAAAAAUGUGGAUGCUCUAUAUACAGAAAAUAAAAUUUACCAUAUGUAAACGGCCACAUACACAAGACGAUGUAUGGUGGUUCGCUAGCUAUAGCAAACGGCUAACUCCUAGCAUAUCUUACACCACUGGUCAUAUAUGUAACAUUAAACUAGAAAUUAUUAUCUAAUUUAUAAAGCUCACUACACACUUAGAUGGAUGGAUCUAAAUAUGAUUAAAACGAUAGUACUUUGUAU